Molecule: transfer RNA, 72 nt
Filed under: Verrucomicrobiales bacterium
Lineage: Bacteria; Pseudomonadati; Verrucomicrobiota; Verrucomicrobiia; Verrucomicrobiales
Description: tRNA-Arg
Rfam family: tRNA
About the family: Transfer RNA (tRNA) molecules are approximately 80 nucleotides in length. Their secondary structure includes four short double-helical elements and three loops (D, anti-codon, and T loops).
Source: RNAcentral
GCGCCCGUAGUAAAAUGGAUAUUACAUCGGUUUCCGGAGCCGAAAGUGCAGGUUCGAUUCCUGCCGGGCGUA